RNAcentral lists this unclassified non-coding RNA (430 nucleotides) under soil metagenome. Its description in RNAcentral is "partial contains 5.8S ribosomal RNA, internal transcribed spacer 2, and large subunit ribosomal RNA". The stretch from base 1 to 120 matches the Rfam family "5.8S ribosomal RNA", at positions 35 to 154 of the family's 154-position model. The record is from RNAcentral.
GAUGAAGAACGUAGCGAAAUGCGAUACGUAAUGUGAAUUGCAGAAUUCAGUGAAUCAUCGAAUCUUUGAACACAUAUUGCGCUCUCUGGUAUUCCGGAGAGCAUGCUUGUUUGAGUAUCAGUAAACACCUCAACUCCCUUUUCUUUUUUGAAAUUGGAGCUGGACUUGAGUGAUCCCAACGCUUUCUUCCAAGAAAGUGGCGGGUUGCUUGAAAUGCAGGUGCAGCUGAACUUUUCUCUGAGCUAUAAGCAUAUCUAUUUAGUCUGCCUAAAAAACAGAUUAUUACCUUUGCUGCAGCUAACAUAAAGGAGACUAGUUCUUGUGCUGACUGAUGCAGGAUUCACAGAGACAGCUUCGGCUGACUUUGUAAACUCGAUCUCAAAUCAAGUAAGACUACCCGCUGAACUUAAGCAUAUCAAUAAGCGGAGGA